CCCGCACAAGCGGUGGAGCAUGUGGUUUAAUCGACGCAACGCGCAGAACCUUACCUGGGCUUGACAUCCCGAUCGCACCUUUUGGAAACUUAAGGGUCAGUUCGGCUGGAUCGGUGACAGGUGCUGCAUGGCUGUCGUCAGCUCGUGUCGUGAGAUGUUGGGUUAAGUCCCGCAACGAGCGCAACCCUCGUCCUUAGUUGCCAGCAUUAAGUUGGGCACUCUAAGGAGACUGCCGGUGUUAAACCGGAGGAAGGCGGGGAUGACGUCAAGUCCUCAUGGCCCUUAUGUCCAGGGCUACACACGUGCUACAAUGGCCGGUACAAAGGGUAGCAAGACCGCGAGGUGGAGCCAACCCCAAAAAGCCGGUCUCAGUUCGGAUUGGAGUCUGCAACUCGACUCCAUGAAGUUGGAAUCGCUAGUAAUCGUGGAUCAGCAUGCCACGGUGAAUACGUUCCCGGGCCUU
RNAcentral lists this ribosomal RNA (463 nucleotides) under uncultured Desulfuromonas sp. RNAcentral's name for it is "bacterial SSU rRNA". It matches the Rfam family "Bacterial small subunit ribosomal RNA", at positions 920 to 1382 of the family's 1533-position model. Lineage: Bacteria; Pseudomonadati; Thermodesulfobacteriota; Desulfuromonadia; Desulfuromonadales; Desulfuromonadaceae. The record is from RNAcentral.